This 467-nucleotide ribosomal RNA is filed under the name uncultured bacterium. RNAcentral describes it as "partial 16S ribosomal RNA". It matches the Rfam family "Bacterial small subunit ribosomal RNA", at positions 29 to 507 of the family's 1533-position model. The record is from RNAcentral.
ACGAACGCUGGCGGCGUGCUUAACACAUGCCAGUCGAACGGAAAGGCCCUGCUUUUGUGGGGUGCUCGAGUGGCGAACGGGUGAGUAACACGUGAGUAACCUGCCCUUGACUUUGGGAUAACUUCAGGAAACUGGGGCUAAUACCGGGUAGGAGCUCCUGCUGCAUGGUGGGGGUUGGAAAGUUUCGGCGGUUGGGGAUGGACUCGCGGCUUAUCAGCUUGUUGGUGGGGUAGUGGCUUACCAAGGCUUUGACGGGUAGCCGGCCUGAGAGGGUGACCGGCCACAUUGGGACUGAGAUACGGCCCAGACUCCUACGGGAGGCAGCAGUGGGGAAUAUUGCACAAUGGGCGGAAGCCUGAUGCAGCAACGCCGCGUGCGGGAUGACGGCCUUCGGGUUGUAAACCGCUUUCGCCUGUGACGAAGCGUGAGUGACGGUAAUGGGUAAAGAAGCACCGGCUAACUACGUG